Molecule: long non-coding RNA, 216 nt
Filed under: Populus trichocarpa (black cottonwood)
Lineage: Eukaryota; Viridiplantae; Streptophyta; Magnoliopsida; Malpighiales; Salicaceae
Description: long non-coding RNA (PTRI_LNC004615)
Source: RNAcentral
UGGUUAACUCGGGGUGAAUUAGGUUAUUUUUUUGUUCUUUUUUUAUUUGAUUUUUUUUCAAUUUAAUCCUUCAACAUUGGAUGGUUUGGGAAUUGGACUUCAUAAUUAUUAUUUUCUUUUUUUUCUAUAAAAUUAUCAUGAUCGUAUAACCCAGGACGUUUGUUAAGCUGAUUGACUCAAGUAGUUUUUUGUGUUCUUUUCCUAAUUGAUUUUUUU